RNAcentral lists this ribosomal RNA (449 nucleotides) under uncultured bacterium. RNAcentral describes it as "partial 16S ribosomal RNA". It matches the Rfam family "Bacterial small subunit ribosomal RNA", at positions 29 to 523 of the family's 1533-position model. The record is from RNAcentral.
AACGAACGCUGGCGGCAUGCCUAACACAUGCAAGUCGAACGAGACCUUCGGGUCUAGUGGCGCACGGGUGCGUAACGCAUGGGAACCUGCCUUUAGGUUCGGAAUAACUCAGAGAAAUUUGAGCUAAUACCGGAUAAUGUCUUCGGACCAAAGAUUUAUCGCCUUUAGAUGGGCCCGCGUUGGAGUAGCUAGUUGGUGGGGUAAAGGCCUACCAAGGCGACGAUCCAUAGCUGGUCUGAGAGGAUGAUCAGCCACACUGGGACUGAGACGCGGCCCAGACUCCUACGGGAGGCAGCAGUGGGGAAUAUUGGACAAUGGGCGAAAGCCUGAUCCAGCAAUGCCGCGUGAGUGAUGAAGGCCUUAGGGUUGUAAAGCUCUUUUACCCGAGAUGAUAAUGACAGUAUCGGGAGAAUAAGCUCCGGCUAACUCCGUGCCAGCAGCCGCCGUAA